This 263-nucleotide non-coding RNA is filed under the name uncultured Ochromonas. The record is from RNAcentral. Lineage: Eukaryota; Chrysophyceae; Chromulinales; Chromulinaceae.
ACAACCUACUCCCCUAAAAUUAACCCAAUCUUUUCUAGUGCCAAUAAAAGUCGAGAAAAUCUCCGAGAGAGACUGCAUGACUCCUCCUCAGACGAGGACUUUGACGGCUGUGACUCUUGCCAUGAGCUUGAUGACUUCGAACACCACAAUCUAUUAAAUAGCACACAAAUCCAACUUUACGAUUACGAUUCAGAUUAUGCAGAAGAUGAACGAAUGAUGCAAAAGUGGCAAGCAAGACGAUUAGGACUUGUUUACCUAGGGAA